ACUAACGCUGGCGGCGUGUCUUAGACAUGUAAGUCGAACGGGUUGCUAUUUUGUAGCAAUACAGAAUAGCGCUAGUGGCGAACGGGUGAGUAAUGCAAAAGUAACUUUCCUUAGAGUGAAGAAUAACCUCGAGAAAUCGUGACUAAUUCUUCAUAUUCUCAAUAGACAUAUGUCUAUUGAGGAAAGGCUUCGGCCGCUCUGAGAUAGGCUUUUGGCCUAUCAGUUUGUUGGCGGGUUAACAGCCCACCAAGACUACGACGGGUAGGGGGUGUGAGAGCAUGACCCCCCACAUGGGAACUGCGACACGGUCCCAACUCCUACGGGAGGCAGCAGCCUAGAAAUUUGGGCAAUGGACGAAAGUCUGACCCAGCGACGCCGCGUGAGGGAUGAAGUCUCUCGGGAUGUAAACCUCUGUUGAGGGGAACGAUAAUGACGGUACCCCUCGAGGAAGCCUCGGCUAACUCCGUGCCAGCAGCCGCGGUAAUACGGAGGAGGCAAGCGUUGUCCGGAAUCACUGGGCGUAAAGGGUGUGUAGGUGUCCUGGUGGGUCAAGUGUGAAAUCCAACAGCUUAACUGUUGAAGUGCACAUGAAACUAUCGGGAUUGAGGACAUGAGGGGAGAGCGGAACUCGCGGUGUAGCGGUAGAAUGCGUGGAUAUCGCGAGGAAUGCCGAUGGCGAAGGCGGCUCUCUAGUAUGUUUCUCGUAUGAGAGGCUGAAUAAUUUUAAUCUUCGGGUUUUGAUUAAUCGGUCCUGACACUGAAACACGAAAGCUGGGGGAGCGAACGGGAUUAGAUACCCCGGUGGUCCCAGCCCUAAACGAUGUACACUUGGCAUGCGCUAUAUUUGUGCGUGCCGUAGGUAACCUGUUAAGUGUACCGCCUGGGGAGUACGCUCGCAAGGGUGAAACUCAAAGGAAUUGACGGGGACCCGCACAAGCGGUGGAGGAUGUGGUUCAAUCCGAUGCAACGCGAAAAACCUUACCUGGGUUUGACAUCCUCUGACAGUCCCUGAAAGGGGAUCUUCCCGAUUUAUCGGGACAGAGUGACAGGUGCUGCAUGGCUGUCGUCAGCUCGUGUCGUGAGAUGUUGGGUUAAGUCCCGCAACGAGCGCAACCCUUGUCUUUAGUUGCUACUAUUCAGUUAAGCACUCUAAAGAUACUGCCCCGGUUAACGGGGAGGAAGGUGGGGAUGACGUCAAGUCCUCAUGGCCUUUAUAUCCAGGGCUACACACGUGCUACAAUGGGUUGAACAAAGGGUUGCCACUCCGUGAGGAGGAGCUAAUCCCAUAAAGCAGCCCUCAGUUCGGAUUGGAGUCUGCAACUCGACUCCAUGAAGUUGGAAUCGCUAGUAAUCGUGGACCAGCAUGCCACGGUGAAUACGUUCCCGGGCCUUGUACACACCGCCCGUCACACCACGAAAGUUGGCUGUACCAGAAGUUGCUGGGCUAACCCCUGAGCUUGUCGAAGGGGAGGCAGGCACCUAAGGUAUGGCUGAUGAUUGGGGUG
RNAcentral lists this ribosomal RNA (1505 nucleotides) under uncultured bacterium. Its description in RNAcentral is "partial 16S ribosomal RNA". It matches the Rfam family "Bacterial small subunit ribosomal RNA". The record is from RNAcentral.